RNAcentral lists this ribosomal RNA (253 nucleotides) under uncultured bacterium. Its description in RNAcentral is "partial 16S ribosomal RNA". It matches the Rfam family "Bacterial small subunit ribosomal RNA", at positions 524 to 776 of the family's 1533-position model. The record is from RNAcentral.
UACAGAGGUCUCAAGCGUUGUUCGGAUUCAUUGGGCGUAAAGAGCUCGUAGGCGGUUUGUCGCGUCGAAUGUGAAAACCCGGGGCUCAACCCCGGGCCUGCAUUCGAUACGGGCAGACUAGAGUUCGGUAGGGGAGUCUGGAAUUCCAGGUGUAGCGGUGAAAUGCGUAGAUAUCUGGAGGAAUACCGGUGGCGAAGGCGGCAUCCUGGACCGACAUUGACGCUGAACGGCGAAAGCUAGGGGAGCAAACGGG